CCUUCCCUGGCUCAGCUGGUAAAGAAUCUGCCUGCAGUGCAGGAGACCGGGGUUCGAUCCCUGGGUUGGGA
Molecule: transfer RNA, 71 nt
Filed under: Ovis aries (sheep)
Lineage: Eukaryota; Metazoa; Chordata; Mammalia; Artiodactyla; Bovidae
Rfam family: tRNA
About the family: Transfer RNA (tRNA) molecules are approximately 80 nucleotides in length. Their secondary structure includes four short double-helical elements and three loops (D, anti-codon, and T loops).
Source: Rfam by way of RNAcentral